CCUUUUUCCUCUUCCGCAGAUAAGGAUUCAAUUUGCUAGCUAUUUCAGACGAAGAUUCAUUCCAAUUUUGCUGCAGGUUAGAUUUAGUUACUUCUCAAUAACCUAUAUUAUAUCCUUUAAUCUCAGAAGUUUUAUUUAUUGAUUUUUCAAACUCCUUAAUUACAUGGAACUGAUCAGUAGUAUUUGCGCAUUCUUAGCAGACAGGUCAUGUAUGUUGUUAAUCAACUUCAGAGAAAGAAAGUAAUUGCAUUGUAAUUUGUCAGCAAAAAUUUGUCCAUUGCUAAUCCAUGUUCAAAACUCAUUGGAACAAACACAGGUAUGGAUCUAACAUUGGUUUAGGGUUCUACAUGCUAUUAUGUUUAAAGUUCCUUGAAUUUGAUGCCAGGAGAGGCCGAGGAUCGUGAUGAAGAAGUUUAUGAAAUUUGUGUGGGUCAGAUCACGUAGGUUGUUAACCGACCUCGGGGAAAGAAAGCAAAUAAAGCAACUGAAGUUUGCACUUAUGGGUAGGUAGUGUUAUCUAUAAUUAUAAGGAAAUAUGAUGUUUGUUGACAAAAGGUGGUGGAUUGUGUUAGACAGAUUAAUACAAAGGAAGAAAACUAUCGUAACCAAAAUUCAUUUCUAUUAAGAUACUGUCUCCAAUCAAUUGUAGAUCAUCACCUACUGUUUUUAGUUUCUAGGUUAGAUCUUGCUUCAAAUCAUUAAUUGAAAUUUCCUCUUUGUUUUCAUUUGUUUUGUUAAAUUUUGUUGUUCAUGAUGAAUUGAAUCAAGUAGAUUGUACUGGAGUUGAAUAUCUCAAUAAAACAACAUGUAUCUAGGUUAAGAUAAGGUAUGAUUGUGAUAAACUUAUCGCAGAAAAACUUUUGAACUUGGAGAUUUUGCGUUUUUUGUUAGGUUACAGAGCACGAUGGCUUCAAUCUGCAGAGAGAUGCAGAUGAACAACUUCUUAUUUAUCUUCCUUUACUGAGGUUGUCAAAUUUCAGUAAUUUCUGAUCAAAGAUUCAAAGGUCCUCAAGAGGAAGGUAAGGUUUGGUGUUUUUGUUUGUUUCUCAUCAUGGCUACCAAUAAAAUAUGCUUUGUUAGCAUGUUUGCUGCUUUAGUUCACAUAUUUUAUAAGUCGGUAAUUUGUUUGUAUUGUAUAUCUACCUCUACAUUGAUCCUACCAAGCAUAUUAUGUUUUCCGGUUUGCAUGUUUGUAGAAAGUCAGUGGUUACUAAAAACUAAGACCUACAGGAAUAAGGCUAAACAAUUUUUUAAUUUGGCUUAAUCAAUUUUCUCAAAUAAGUGAAAUGUUUUUUAUUUCAAUUGAAUUUGAUAAAUGGGUUUUGUCUCAAAGUGAAAUCUAUUAAAAUUUACAUAAAAAUUCCUGAAACUUGCAUCAUCUCAUUAAUGUUUGUCUCAAAUGUAGAUAAUUCGAUUAGAUAACCAAGACAAUAGACUUUGUUCUUAAGGUAUAUUGUCAAAUUUGAACUCAUUACUUCUUUAUUAUAUGUUUGCUUGGUGAUCAACCUGAGUUUUAAUCAAAGUUUAUUAAUUACUUCUCCUAUCUAAAUUUAGCAUUCGAAAAAAAUGUUUAUUUGACAUUUACUUUGACCAGGCUUCGAUUUACAAUGUCCAAGAUAUCUUUCUCUUGCGGGUCUCGGUAACCUACAUUUUAGGGUUUAGCCACUAUGCUCAUAUUUAUUUCUCUUAAUACGUACUUUGUUUUCGUGAUUUUUUUUUCCCAUACUUAUCUACUACUCUCUUUUCUUUAUCUCUUUGAAGAACACAAAACACGUUGGCAGGGAUUGGUUUAAAAUACGACCAGAAUGUCAUGUUUGUUUAGAAUAUUUCAAUGGGUCCACCAUAUUUUCCUUGGCUGGUGUAGCUCAGUUGCUCACUGCAACCCACAAAGCAGCUGGCUGUUCAAACACUGCAAAACAUUUUUACUUGGCUGGUGUAGCUCAGUUGCUCACUGCAACCCACAAAGCAGCAGCUGGUGUAGCUCCGUUGCUCACUGUAACCUAUAUUUUACUUGGCUGGCUGUUAAAACACACUGCAACCCACAAAGCAGCUGCUCACUGCACCAAACCCACUAGCAGAAUUGGCCGCAGAUGCCGAAGACACAAGUCAGCUGCUAUCAAACUUCACAUCAAAAUUCUUUAAAUUUUCGUCGUCCCAUUCAAAAGUAGAAUAUAAAAUUUUCGUUAUAAAUUUAUAAUACAUUAUUUCAAUGACAUAGAUUAUGAUCUGAUAUCUCGAGGUUAGAUUAUUUGAACAAUGUAAUGGAUAUAGUCCUGUCAGCCAUGUCUCCAAAAU
RNAcentral lists this long non-coding RNA (2295 nucleotides) under Aquilegia coerulea. RNAcentral's name for it is "long non-coding RNA (ACOE_LNC001779)". Lineage: Eukaryota; Viridiplantae; Streptophyta; Magnoliopsida; Ranunculales; Ranunculaceae. The record is from RNAcentral.